Molecule: ribosomal RNA, 417 nt
Filed under: uncultured fungus
Lineage: Eukaryota; Fungi
Description: eukaryotic LSU rRNA
Rfam family: 5.8S ribosomal RNA (bases 1-152)
Source: RNAcentral
CUUUCAACAACGGAUCUCUUGGCUCUCGCAUCGAUGAAGAACGCAGCGAAAUGCGAUAAGUAAUGUGAAUUGCAGAAUUCAGUGAAUCAUCGAAUCUUUGAACGCACCUUGCGCUCCCUGGUAUUCCGGGGAGCAUGCCUGUUUGAGUGUCGUGAAGUUAUCAUGGUCAUGAUCUUUAAUUAAUCAUGGCUUGGAUUUGGAGGUUUAUGUUGGCUUUCUUAAGUUGACUCCUCUUAAAUAUAUUAGCUCGGUGUCUUAAUACUUAGAGCGGUUCACGGUGUGAUAAUUAUCUACACUUCAACUAAUCUAAGUUAAGCCGGCUUCUAAUAGAUCCUUGGCGAUCACUUUGUGAAUUUGACCUCAAAUCAGGUAGGACUACCCGCUGAACUUAAGCAUAUCAAUAAGCGGAGGAAAUCG